This is a non-coding RNA of Podarcis lilfordi (Lilford's wall lizard), 201 nucleotides long. Lineage: Eukaryota; Metazoa; Chordata; Lepidosauria; Squamata; Lacertidae. The record is from the annotation of a GenBank genome assembly.
AUUCCCGAUGUUGAGUGGGAAUCUCCUUUCUUGCAACUUGAAUCCAUUUGUUCAGGUCCCUCUGGAAUGUGAGAAAGUAACCUUGCUCCAUCUUUCAUGUGACAGCCCUUGAGAUAUUUGAAGAUGGUUAUCGUAUCGCCUCUCUUCAUGUCUCCUCUCAGUCUCCUCUUCCCCAGGCUAAACAUGCCCAGCUCCUUCAAC